This 396-nucleotide ribosomal RNA is filed under the name uncultured bacterium. RNAcentral's name for it is "partial 16S ribosomal RNA". It matches the Rfam family "Bacterial small subunit ribosomal RNA", at positions 523 to 918 of the family's 1533-position model. The record is from RNAcentral.
AUACGUAGGGGGCGAGCGUUGUCCAGAAUGAUUGGGUGUAAAGGGUGCGUAGGCGGAUCUACAAGUCAGUAGUGAAAACCAUGGGCUUAACCCAUGACGUGCUAUUGAAACUGCGGAUCUUGAGUGAAGUAGAGGCAGGCGGAAUUCCCGGUGUAGGGGUGAAAUGCGUAGAGAUCGGGAGGAACACCAGUGGCGAAGGCGGCCUGCUGGGCUUUAACUGACGCUGAGGCACGAAAGUGUGGGUAGCAAACAGGAUUAGAUACCCUGGUAGUUCACAUUGUAAACGAUGAUUACUAGGUGUGGGGGGUCUGACCCCCUCCGUGCCGCAGUUAACACAAUAAGUAAUCCACCUGGGGAGUACGGCCGCAAGGUUGAAACUCAAAUGAAUUGACGGGG